Molecule: long non-coding RNA, 1238 nt
Organism: Physeter macrocephalus (sperm whale)
Lineage: Eukaryota; Metazoa; Chordata; Mammalia; Artiodactyla; Physeteridae
Exons: 5
Source: RefSeq, a predicted model, not a curated record
AAGACCGGAUCUCUAGCCCCAAGGAGUCUGGUUGGGGAAAGACCUAAUGUGGCUAGUCAUGGAGGGCACUUAGCAGAAGGAUUCUGAUCAGGGAGCUCAUGUAAAGCCCAAAGGAAGCAGAGUUUGAGUUGGGCUUGAAGAGUGAGUACCAUAUUGAUGCUCUGAGAUAUGGGGGAAGGGUCUGGAAGCAGGGGACACAGGGCUGGGUAUUAGUGGCAUUCUUGGGCAGAGUCAUCUGCAUCACUGGUGGGGAGAGGAAAAGGCAAAGGACGAAUAGGAAAUGGUGGGCUGUUGCCAGGCUGUGGAGGGCUUUCACACGCAUCUUAAGGAGCUUGGACUUUAUUCUGUAGCUAAUGGGGAUCCGUGGGAAGGUUUUUGAGCAGGGAGGUAACUCAAUUUUUUUAAAUCAGAAGCAAACACGUCAAUACAUACUCAUUGAAAGAUUUCAGCUGUACUAUAAGCAAAACAAUAAAAAUGCUACCCUUCCUAGACGUAACUACUGUUCUUCUUCAUGUCAUUUUAUUUACCUAUAUCCGUAGAUACAGAUACAUAAAAAUCAAGCCCUAGAAGUGGGAAGGAAGAUGGUUCUGUCAUCUUUUGUUUUCUCUCCCUGCUCCCCACCCCCAAUCACACCUACCUUUUGCUAUUUAAAGUUACAUAAGUGAGGACUGUAAUCUAGGGAAGCCUGUGCUAUAUAUCUUGUCACUUGGCUCAUUUUGCUUUCCUUUGUUUUAUUUCAGAACAUGGUUUUAUUGGAUAUUCACCAGAACUGCUGCAGAACAACACUCUGCCAGAUUACAGCCCCGGCGAGUCCUUUCUCACUGUCUUCGGGGUGUUCUUCCCAGCAGCUACAGGAGUCAUGGCCGGCUUCAACAUGGGGGGCGACCUCAGGGAGCCUGCUGCCAGCAUCCCCCUGGGCUCCCUAGCAGCUGUUGGCAUCUCGUGGUUUCUGUACAUCGUCUUUGUCCUCCUGCUGGGCGCCAUCUGCACCCGAGGGGCCCUUCGCUAUGACUUCCUGAUAGCAGAAAAGGUGUCCCUGGUGGGCUAGGAUCCUGUUCCUUUUGGGCUUGUACAUCUCGUGCCUGGCCUCCUGUAUGGGAGGCCUCUACGGAGCACCCCGGAUCCUGCAGUGUAUUGCCCAGGAGAAAGUGAUUCCUGUGCUGGCCUGUCUGGGGCAAGGGGCCUCUCACUGCUGUGGUCUCUCCCGUUGCGGAGCACAGGCUCCGGACACGCAGGCC